This 253-nucleotide ribosomal RNA is filed under the name uncultured bacterium. Its description in RNAcentral is "partial 16S ribosomal RNA". It matches the Rfam family "Bacterial small subunit ribosomal RNA", at positions 524 to 776 of the family's 1533-position model. The record is from RNAcentral.
UACGUAGGGGGCUAGCGUUGUCCGGAUUUACUGGGUGUAAAGGGUGCUCAGGUGGGUUUGUAAGUCAGAGGUGAAAUCCCAAAGCUUAACUUUGGAGCGGCCUUUGAUACUGCAAAUCUUGAGUUUGAGAGAGGGUAAUGGAAUAUCUGGUGUAGCAGUGAAAUGCGUAGAUAUCAGAUAGAACACCAAUGGCGAAGGCAGUUACCUGGCUCACAACUGACGCUAAAGCACGAAAGUGUGGGGAGCAAACAGG